CAGCGCACUCCGGGGUCGGUGUAAUUCCGAACCGGCGGUAUAGUCCGCGACCCGUCCGCAGCCAGCGGCCGGUUGACCAGGUGAAACUCCUGGACCGACGGUGAAAGUCCGGAUGGGAGGCAGUGCGCGG
Molecule: non-coding RNA, 130 nt
Filed under: Streptomyces sp.
Lineage: Bacteria; Bacillati; Actinomycetota; Actinomycetes; Kitasatosporales; Streptomycetaceae
Description: FMN sequence
Rfam family: FMN riboswitch aptamer (RFN element)
About the family: The RFN element is a highly conserved domain that is found frequently in the 5'-untranslated regions of prokaryotic mRNAs that encode for flavin mononucleotide (FMN) biosynthesis and transport proteins. This element is a metabolite-dependent riboswitch that directly binds FMN in the absence of proteins.
Source: RNAcentral